Molecule: ribosomal RNA, 1372 nt
Filed under: uncultured bacterium
Lineage: Bacteria
Description: bacterial SSU rRNA
Rfam family: Bacterial small subunit ribosomal RNA
Source: RNAcentral
GAUGAACGCUGGCGGCGUGCCUAAUACAUGCAAGUCGAGCGAACAGACAAGGAGCUUGCUCCUUUGACGUUAGCGGCGGACGGGUGAGUAACACGUGGGUAACCUACCUAUAAGACUGGGAUAACUUCGGGAAACCGGAGCUAAUACCGGAUAAUAUUUCGAACCGCAUGGUUCGAUAGUGAAAGAUGGUUUUGCUAUCACUUAUAGACGGACCCGCGCCGUAUUAGCUAGUUGGUAAGGUAACGGCUUACCAAGGCGACGAUACGUAGCCGACCUGAGAGGGUGAUCGGCCACACUGGAACUGAGACACGGUCCAGACUCCUACGGGAGGCAGCAGUAGGGAAUCUUCCGCAAUGGGCGAAAGCCUGACGGAGCAACGCCGCGUGAGUGAUGAAGGUCUUCGGAUCGUAAAACUCUGUUAUUAGGGAGGAACAUACGUGUAAGUAACUAUGCACGUCUUGACGGUACCUAAUCAGAAAGCCACGGCUAACUACGUGCCAGCAGCCGCGGUAAUACGUAGGUGGCAAGCGUUAUCCGGAAUUAUUGGGCGUAAAGCGCGCGUAGGCGGUUUUUUAAGUCUGAUGUGAAAGCCCACGGCUCAACCGUGGAGGGUCAUUGGAAACUGUAAAACUUGAGUGCAGAAGAGGAAAGUGGAAUUCCAUGUGUAGCGGUGAAAUGCGCAGAGAUAUGGAGGAACACCAGUGGCGAAGGCGACUUUCUGGUCUGUAACUGACGCUGAUGUGCGAAAGCGUGGGGAUCAAACAGGAUUAGAUACCCUGGUAGUCCACGCCGUAAACGAUGAGUGCUAAGUGUUAGGGGGUUUCCGCCCCUUAGUGCUGCAGCUAACGCAUUAAGCACUCCGCCUGGGGAGUACGACCGCAAGGUUGAAACUCAAAGGAAUUGACGGGGACCCGCACAAGCGGUGGAGCAUGUGGUUUAAUUCGAAGCAACGCGAAGAACCUUACCAAAUCUUGACAUCCUUUGACAACUCUAGAGAUAGAGCCUUCCCCUUCGGGGGACAAAGUGACAGGUGGUGCAUGGUUGUCGUCAGCUCGUGUCGUGAGAUGUUGGGUUAGGUCCCGCAACGAGCGCAACCCUUAAGCUUAGUUGCCAUCAUUAAGUUGGGCACUCUAAGUUGACUGCCGGUGACAAACCGGAGGAAGGUGGGGAUGACGUCAAAUCAUCAUGCCCCUUAUGAUUUGGGCUACACACGUGCUACAAUGGACAAUACAAAGGGCAGCGAAACCGCGAGGUCAAGCAAAUCCCAUAAAGUUGUUCUCAGUUCGGAUUGUAGUCUGCAACUCGACUACAUGAAGCUGGAAUCGCUAGUAAUCGUAGAUCAGCAUGCUACGGUGAAUACGUUCCCGGGUCU